This 648-nucleotide ribosomal RNA is filed under the name uncultured eukaryote. RNAcentral describes it as "SSU rRNA". It matches the Rfam family "Eukaryotic small subunit ribosomal RNA", at positions 629 to 1283 of the family's 1831-position model. The record is from RNAcentral.
CGUAGUUGGGAGUCAGAGUGAGCUCAGCUGGUCGGCCUAAUGGGUCAGAACUGGUUGACUCUCUCUUGUUUGUGGGUCUCGCCCGGAGUUAACUCUUCGGAUGUGGAUCCCACAUCGUUUACCUUGAAAAAAUUAGAGUGUUCAAAGCAGGCGUUUGCUUGAAUAUAUUAGCAUGGAAUAAUGGAAUAGGACGCUGGUUCUAUUUUGUUGGUUUUGAGAACCAGAGUAAUGAUUAAUAGGGACAGUUGGGGGCAUUCAUAUUUCAUUGUCAGAGGUGAAAUUCUUGGAUUUAUGAAAGAUGGACUUCUGCGAAAGCAUUUGCCAAGGAUGUUUUCAUUAAUCAAGAACGAAAGUUAGGGGAUCGAAGACGAUCAGAUACCGUCGUAGUCUUAACCAUAAACUAUGCCGACUAGGGAUUGGGCGUGGUUUGUUCAUUGACCCGCUCAGCACCUUACGAGAAAUCAAAGUCUUUGGGUUCCGGGGGGAGUAUGGUCGCAAGGCUGAAACUUAAAGGAAUUGACGGAAGGGCACCACCAGGAGUGGAGCCUGCGGCUUAAUUUGACUCAACACGGGAAAACUUACCAGGUCCAAACAUAGUAAGGAUUGACAGAUUGAGAGCUCUUUCUUGAUUCUAUGGGUGGUGGUGGC